UAUGGGGCAGCCGUGGGGCAGGCACUGACGCGGUUGUGGAUGAAGAGCCGCACUUUGUCCCCGGGCAGCUCCAGGCGCAGCAGCCGCUGCAGGAACAGCUCCAGGAACGGGGUCGGCUGCUCCACGAACACCGCCAGCAGCGCCCGCACCGCCUGCACGCACCGACAGGGGGCGCCACAAACACAACGUGUGGGGCGGGCAGACACGGGGGGCGCGCACACAGCGAUGGGGCACGCACACACAGCUAUGGGGCACACACAGCUAUGGGGCACGCACACACAGCUAUGGGGCACGCACUGCUAUGGGGCACACACACACACACGGGGCCCAGCCCCACAGAUCUAUGGGGCACACACACACACAAUGGGGCCCAGCCCCACUGAUCUAUGGGGCGCACACACACACAUGGGGCCCAGCCCCGCAGAUCUAUGGGGCACACACACACACACACACACAAUGGGGCCCAGCCCCACAGAUCUAUGGGGCGCACACACACACACAUGGGGCCCAGCCCCACAGAUCUAUGGGGCACACACACACACACGGGGCCCAGCCCCACAGAUGUAUGGGGCACACACACACACGGGGCCCAGCCCCACAGAUCUAUGGGGCACACACACACACACGGGGCCCA
This 634-nucleotide long non-coding RNA is filed under the name Numida meleagris (helmeted guineafowl). Its description in RNAcentral is "lncRNA (ENSNMEG00000000920.1)". The record is from RNAcentral. Lineage: Eukaryota; Metazoa; Chordata; Aves; Galliformes; Numididae.